GACGAACGCUGGCGGCGUGCUUAACACAUGCAAGUCGAACGGAAAGGCCCUGCUUUUGUGGGGUGCUCGAGUGGCGAACGGGUGAGUAACACGUGAGUAACCUGCCCUUGACUUUGGGAUAACUUCAGGAAACUGGGGCUAAUACCGGAUAGGAGCUCCUGCUGCAUGGUGGUGGUUGGAAAGUUUCGGCGGUGGGGGAUGGACUCGCGGCUUAUCAGCUUGUUGGUGGGGUAGUGGCUUACCAAGGCUUUGACGGGUAGCCGGCCUGAGAGGGUGACCGGCCACAUUGGGACUGAGAGACGGCCCAGACUCCUACGGGAGGCAGCAGUGGGGAAUAUUGCACAAUGGGCGGAAGCCGGAUGCAGCAACGUCGGGUGCGGGAUGACGGCCUUCGGGUGGUAAACCGCUUUCGCCUGUGACGAAGCGUGAGUGACGGUAAUGGGUAAAGAAGCAACGGCUAACUACGUG
RNAcentral lists this ribosomal RNA (468 nucleotides) under uncultured bacterium. Its description in RNAcentral is "partial 16S ribosomal RNA". It matches the Rfam family "Bacterial small subunit ribosomal RNA", at positions 28 to 507 of the family's 1533-position model. The record is from RNAcentral.